RNAcentral lists this ribosomal RNA (497 nucleotides) under uncultured bacterium. RNAcentral's name for it is "partial 16S ribosomal RNA". It matches the Rfam family "Bacterial small subunit ribosomal RNA", at positions 28 to 507 of the family's 1533-position model. The record is from RNAcentral.
GAUGAACGCUGGCGGCGUGCCUAAUACAUGCAAGUCGAGCGAACGGACGCGAAGCUUGCUUCUCUGAUGUUAGCGGCGGACGGGUGAGUAACACGUGGAUAACCUACCUAUAAGACUGGGAUAACUUCGGGACACCGGAGCUAACACCGGAUGAUAUUUUGAACCGCAUGGUUCAUAAGUGAAAGACGGUCUUGCUGUCUCUUAUCGAUGGAUCCGCGCUGCAUUAGCUAGUUGGUAAGGUAACGGCGUACCAAGGCUACGAGGCGUAGACGACCUGCGAGGGGGAUAGGCGACAUGGGAACGGAGACGGGGUCAUGAGUCCUACGGGAGGGAGCAGUAGGGAACGUGACGCAAUAGGCGAAAGCCUGACGGAGUAACGCCGAGCGAGUGAUGAAGGUCUUCGGAUCGUAAAACUCUGUUAUUAGUGAAGAACAGAUGUGUAAGGAGCUGUGGAGAUCUUGACGGUAACUAAUCAAGAAGCAACGGCUAACUACGUG